RNAcentral lists this ribosomal RNA (199 nucleotides) under uncultured Comamonas sp. RNAcentral's name for it is "partial 16S ribosomal RNA". It matches the Rfam family "Bacterial small subunit ribosomal RNA", at positions 334 to 525 of the family's 1533-position model. Lineage: Bacteria; Pseudomonadati; Pseudomonadota; Betaproteobacteria; Burkholderiales; Comamonadaceae. The record is from RNAcentral.
UACUCCUACGGGAGGCAGCAGUGGGGAAUUUUGGACAAUGGGCGAAAGCCUGAUCCAGCAAUGCCGCGUGCAGGAUGAAGGCCCUCGGGUUGUAAACUGCUUUUGUACGGAACGAAAAGCCUGGGGCUAAUAUCCCCGGGUCAUGACGGUACCGUAAGAAUAAGCACCGGCUAACUACGUGCCAGCAGCCGCGGUAAUA